Molecule: non-coding RNA, 109 nt
Organism: Plectosphaerella plurivora
Lineage: Eukaryota; Fungi; Ascomycota; Sordariomycetes; Glomerellales; Plectosphaerellaceae
Source: the annotation of a GenBank genome assembly
GGCAAGGUGGCCGAGUGGUUAAGGCGAUAGACUCGAAUGUGCUCCGUUGUGGGCUCGUUUCGGCCAUCUAUUGGGUUCGCCCGCGUAGGUUCAAAUCCUGCCCUUGUCG